This is a non-coding RNA of Cyanistes caeruleus (blue tit), 1431 nucleotides long. Lineage: Eukaryota; Metazoa; Chordata; Aves; Passeriformes; Paridae. The record is from RefSeq and is a predicted model, not a curated record.
GGGGCUCCGAGUGGCAACAAGUUCCAGGAGUCAGCAGUGUACCCUUGUGGCCAAGAAGGCCAGUUGUCCCCUGGGGCACGUUAGGAAGGGCGGUUUUGAAAAGUUAUCCUCUCUGCAUACUCUGCCAUGGAAAUACUUUUGAGAAGUGUUUGAAUGUAGGUGUUCAAAAGCUGUGAUCAAAACCGAUAGAAAAGACAACAAAGCUUUAAGAAAGUUUUUAGCACACACUCAAGAGGCCCAAGAAAAGGAAGAAAUAAGAGAAACAAAGAGUGGCAUGUGAGAGAAAACUGAAAAAUUCACAUAUUGGAAAACUUUAUGUAGAUCUGUCAGAAAGCAUAGCACAUAGCAGGCAAUCAACAGUCCUUCAUGUUAGGACUAAUUCUGAAGCAUUCCAGAGUGUUUCUGGGUACAACAGUGUGAUGGAUGUGCAGAAGUGCAUUUGAGCUGAUCUAAUCUGUUGUACUGCAAAGGAGCUUGAGAGAUGGAUUAAAAUGCCAGUGAAGCUUGAGAUGUCUUUGCACUAUGAAGAGUUUAAUUUAAUUGCCUGGAGAUGCUGAAACAUCAUCAAAAUGAGGGAAGAGUUUUGAAAUGAAUUUACAGUAUUCUGCAAAGAGCUGUGCGCUCUUAACAUAAAUUUCACCAUAAAUUUAUUCCUCAACUUCUUCAGUGAACAGAUACAAGAGAUCUUGAAUAUCUUGCGUGUUAUAUCUUCAAAGAGUAUGUUUACUUACCUGCCUUAGAAGGACCCUGAGAGGUAAUGCCUGUAAACCCCAGACGAGGCACUCACCAUUAGUACAGAGGAAGGAAAAGCUGUGUGUUUUGCCUGCUCUCUGAUCACAUCCAGGUCACAUUAAAAUCUGGAAGCCAAAGUAACUAAAUGGGCUCAAAGUUUCCUACUAAUAGAACCUGAAGUCAGAUGAGGACAUUUCUCUCCAGGCACAUCAGAAUUCUGGAUUAGGUAAUUAACCUAAUCUUUCACAGGAGAGAUGUUUGGGUGAGCUGGUAAGGAUAUAGAAGCAGCAUACACUUUCCUUUUCUCCAAGAUAUCUUCCCCUGCUCAGAACUGGAAGAUGGGGAACUGAUUCGUAUGUAUAUGAUAUACCUGGCACAUAAUAACUCAGGAUGUUGUUAAGCCAAAGUAUACAGAUCUGGUCGUGUUUCACCUGAAUUUAGCUGUUUUUUUUAAAAUUGUGUUUUAUUUCAAAUCCUGGAAAAGAAAUAGAUAUUCACUGGUUUGACACUCAAAUACUGAUAUGAACUUGGAAAAACACUUGGGAUUAAUGCAACUAAGAAUCAACUCUUGUCUUCCUGAUCAAAUAUGUGUGAACAAAUUAGUUAUAUUGUUCCAGAUACUUCUAUUCAUAAUUUUUCUGCUCAGAUGUUGAAUGCACGUUUGAAAAUCUUGGUCUUCAAUAAAGGUUUGAUUAAAAU